This 655-nucleotide ribosomal RNA is filed under the name uncultured bacterium. Its description in RNAcentral is "bacterial SSU rRNA". It matches the Rfam family "Bacterial small subunit ribosomal RNA", at positions 8 to 649 of the family's 1533-position model. The record is from RNAcentral.
AGAGUUUGAUCCUGGCUCAGAGCGAACGUUAGCGGCGGGCCUAACACAUGCAAGUCGAGCGAGAAAGGGACUUCGGUCCUGAGUAAAGCGGCGGACGGGUGAGAAAUACGUAGGUAACCUGCCUUUCAGUGGGGGACAACGGUCCGAAAGGACCGCUAAUACCGCAUACGUUAUCCGGGACUCUGGUCCUGGAUAGGAAAGCCGGGGCAACCUGGCGCUGGAAGAGGGGCCUACGUCGCAUCAGCUAGUUGGUGGGGUAAUGGCCCACCAAGGCUAAGACGCGUAGCUGGUCUGAGAGGAUGAUCAGCCACACUGGGACUGAGACACGGCCCAGACUCCUACGGGAGGCAGCAGUGGGGAAUAUUGGACAAUGGGCGCAAGCCUGAUCCAGCCACGCCGCGUGAGUGAUGAAGGCCUUCGGGUCGUAAAGCUCUGUGGGGAGAGACGAACCGCCGCUGGCUAAUAUCCAGCGGCAUGACGGUACCUCCUUAGCAAGCACCGGCUAACUUCGUGCCAGCAGCCGCGGUAAUACGAAGGGUGCAAACGUUGCUCGGAAUCAUUGGGCGUAAAGCGCACGUAUGCGGCUUCGCAAGUCGGAUGUGAAAUCCCGUGGCUCAACCAUGGACGUGCAUCCGAAACUGCGAGGCUUGAGUAU